ACUACUGGAAACGGUAGCUAAUACCGCAUAACGUCGCAAGACCAAAGAGGGGGACCUUCGGGCCUCUUGCCAUCAGAUGUGCCCAGAUGGGAUUAGCUAGUAGGUGGGGUAACGGCUCACCUAGGCGACGAUCCCUAGCUGGUCUGAGAGGAUGACCAGCCACACUGGAACUGAGACACGGUCCAGACUCCUACGGGAGGCAGCAGUGGGGAAUAUUGCACAAUGGGCGCAAGCCUGAUGCAGCCAUGCCGCGUGUAUGAAGAAGGCCUUCGGGUUGUAAAGUACUUUCAGCGGGGAGGAAGGUGUUGUGGUUAAUAACCACAGCAAUUGACGUUACCCGCAGAAGAAGCACCGGCUAAACUCCGUGCCNGCAGCCGCGGUAAUACGGAGGGUGCAAGCGUUAAUCGGNAAUUACUGGGCGUUAAAGCGCACNCAGGCGGUCUGUCAAGUCGGAUGUGAAAUCCCCGGGGCUCANCCUGGGAACUGCAUUUC
RNAcentral lists this ribosomal RNA (492 nucleotides) under uncultured Enterobacter sp. Its description in RNAcentral is "bacterial SSU rRNA". It matches the Rfam family "Bacterial small subunit ribosomal RNA", at positions 146 to 629 of the family's 1533-position model. The record is from RNAcentral. Lineage: Bacteria; Pseudomonadati; Pseudomonadota; Gammaproteobacteria; Enterobacterales; Enterobacteriaceae.